UGAAUUAUCUGGAAAUGCAAAGCAAUGCCAACCAAAAUUUGAAAGCAGACGCCAAAUGGCGAAGAGGGACUCCUUGGACAGAAGAGGAACACAGGUCAUUUCUCCGGGGCCUAGAUAUAUAUGGAAGAGGUGACUGGAGAAGUAUAUCUCGGCACUGUGUGAUUACAAGAACAGGAAUGCAGGUGGCUAGCCAUGCACAGAAAUUUUUCAAGCGCCUCGAAGCCGCCAACAUAGGGGAGAGAAGAGCAAGCAUUCUUGAUAUUACUAGUGCAGAUGCUGAAGCUGCUGGAACUUCCCAAGUUCCAAAAACCGAGGAUAUGAUUGGGCCAGCUUGUGGAGGAUCACAAGUAGUGCCAAA
This 358-nucleotide unclassified non-coding RNA is filed under the name Hevea brasiliensis (rubber tree). Lineage: Eukaryota; Viridiplantae; Streptophyta; Magnoliopsida; Malpighiales; Euphorbiaceae. The record is from RNAcentral.